CCUCCUAUUCUUGGCAGAUCCGGGUGGUACGGUGCCCGGCUCUGUGAUGUUCUGGAGGCAGAUGAUGGGGAUCCAUCCCUCCGGUGUUCUGUCUUCGGUGCCAGUGGCUUACCCAUCUGCUGGUUCUAUCCUCAAGCUCCGGGACACGC
Pelodiscus sinensis (Chinese soft-shelled turtle) is the source of this 149-nucleotide small nucleolar RNA. Ensembl annotates it as small nucleolar RNA SNORA57. The record is from Ensembl. Lineage: Eukaryota; Metazoa; Chordata; Testudines; Trionychidae.